AACCCUCACUUGAACACAAAAAAAAAGAGAGGGGGAGAUAAAAAGGGAAAGCGACGAACUACACCAGCGAUAAGUGAAAAACAAACUACAUCAAAGACACAAGGGACCUCAUCUCAAUGAGGAAGGAUACUCCUAUCAAAAAACCCUCAGUCACUAAAAGGGAACUCGACACAGGCCGAGGAGAAAUUGACUUCCUCAAAGUAACGAGAAGUUCGGGUCCCCAAGCUCGAGCACCAGGAGGAAGCGUCAAACUCAAAUGGCCUCGAAAAGACCUACGAUCACGACCAAAAAAGACAAAUCAACAUGACGAC
This 311-nucleotide long non-coding RNA is filed under the name Elaeis guineensis (African oil palm). Its description in RNAcentral is "long non-coding RNA (EGUI_LNC038114)". The record is from RNAcentral. Lineage: Eukaryota; Viridiplantae; Streptophyta; Magnoliopsida; Arecales; Arecaceae.